GAUGAACGUUGGCGGUGUGCCUAAUACAUGCAAGUCGAACGGAGACUGUAGCAAUACUGUCUUAGUGGCGAACGGGUGAGUAACGCGUUGGUGAUCUGCCUCGAAGUGUGGAAUAACCUCCCGAAAGGGAAGCUAAUACCGCAUAGUCUCUCAAGGUUUAGAAAAUUGAGAGUAAAGGAUUUAUUCGCUUCGAGAGGAGCCUGCGUCCCAUCAGCUAGUUGGUAGGGUAACGGCCUACCAAGGCUAUGACGGGUAGCCGGCCUGAGAGGGUGUCCGGCCACACUGGAACUGAGACACGGUCCAGACUCCUACGGGAGGCAGCAGUGGGGAAUUUGCGCAAUGGGGGAAACCCUGACGCAGCGACGCCGCGUGGAGGAUGACGGCCUUCGGGUUGUAAACGUCCUGUCAGAAGGGACGAAAUACCCGCAAGGGACUGACGGUACCUUCACGAGGAAGCCCCGGCUAACCUAACGUGCCAGCAGCCGCGGUAAAGUGUGUGUA
This 501-nucleotide ribosomal RNA is filed under the name uncultured bacterium. RNAcentral's name for it is "bacterial SSU rRNA". It matches the Rfam family "Bacterial small subunit ribosomal RNA", at positions 28 to 533 of the family's 1533-position model. The record is from RNAcentral.